RNAcentral lists this ribosomal RNA (232 nucleotides) under uncultured bacterium. RNAcentral's name for it is "partial 16S ribosomal RNA". It matches the Rfam family "Bacterial small subunit ribosomal RNA", at positions 99 to 334 of the family's 1533-position model. The record is from RNAcentral.
CGGACGGGUGAGUAAUGUCUGGGAAACUGCCCGAUGGAGGGGGAUAACUACUGGAAGCGGUAGCUAAUACCGCAUAACGUCGCAAGACCAAAGAGGGGGACCUUCGGGCCUCUUGCCAUCGGAUGUGCCCAGAUGGGAUUAGCUAGUAGGUGGGGUAAAGGCUCACCUAGGCGACGAUCCCUAGCUGGUCUGAGAGGAUGACCAGCCACACUGGAACUGAGACACGGUCCAG